GCCGGCCGGGGGGGCGUGUGCCUGUAGUCCCAGCUCCGCUUGAGGCUGGAGGUUUGCUUCAGCCCAGGAGCUCUGGGCUGCCGUGCGAUGCCGAUCGGGUGUCCACACUGAGUUUGGCAUCAAUGUGGUGACCUCCCGGGAGCCGGGGACCACCAGGUUGCCUAAGGAGGGGUGACCCGACCCAAUCCAGGUUGGAAAUGGAGCAGGUCAAAACUCCUGAGCCAAUCAGUAGUGCGAUCGAACCUGUGAACGGCCACUGGAACAGAGCAAUACCCCGU
Non-coding RNA from Callithrix jacchus (white-tufted-ear marmoset), 278 nucleotides. The record is from Rfam. NCBI's taxonomy places the organism in Eukaryota, Metazoa, Chordata, Mammalia, Primates, Cebidae.